AGCGUAGACGGAGUGGCAAGUCUGAUGUGAAAACCCGGGGCUCAACCCCGGGACUGCAUUGGAAACUGUCAAUCUAGAGUACCGGAGAGGCAAGCGGAAUUCCUAGUGUAGCGGUGAAAUGCGUAGAUAUUAGGAGGAACACCAGUGGCGAAGGCGGCUUACUGGACGGUAACUGACGUUGAGGCUCGAAAGCGUGGGAAGCAAACA
RNAcentral lists this ribosomal RNA (207 nucleotides) under uncultured bacterium. Its description in RNAcentral is "partial 16S ribosomal RNA". It matches the Rfam family "Bacterial small subunit ribosomal RNA", at positions 568 to 774 of the family's 1533-position model. The record is from RNAcentral.